AAUGCACAGGACUUCCCCCAACAAGACUGUAAUCACAGGACUCUGGAGGCUGAGGCAGGAGGACUGCUGCAACGAUAAGGCCAGUCUAAGCUCCACAAUGAUGACAAGCAUCAAAGAAUAUCCAGCUAGAGUUUGCUUUCAUUGUGGUAAAGUUAGCCACUGGGCAAGAAACUGUCUCAACUAAUGACAGUAUGCUGUCCAAACUGGACAAGCAGAAGACAAAAAAGGCAACAGAUGAACUUUGCCAGAACAAGACUUACCUAUGCCUAGCACUCAUCUUAAAAGACAACAUCAGGAGAGGUGGAAAGAAGACAUAAUACUGAGGACUCUUGUCUGGUGAGAGCUCUCCCGGUGGGCUGCUUGAAAGACUUUUACAACAGGAGCACCAGCGACAUGGACUUAACUGGCUUGCCACACCAUGUGACCUUCCCUGGAGUCCGGCCAUCACCACUCAGGUUCUGUUGCAGCUAUGGCCCAGGAUGCUCCCAAUUGUUUGGGUGGGUAGGGGCAUGGGUUUAUUUGGGAGCUUUCCUAGGUUGAGAUAAAGAAGCAUCCAUGUGGAUCCUUUAUCAG
Long non-coding RNA from Mesocricetus auratus (golden hamster), 573 nucleotides. RefSeq lists it as uncharacterized. NCBI's taxonomy places the organism in Eukaryota, Metazoa, Chordata, Mammalia, Rodentia, Cricetidae. The transcript is spliced from 3 exons. The record is from RefSeq and is a predicted model, not a curated record.